This 207-nucleotide ribosomal RNA is filed under the name uncultured bacterium. Its description in RNAcentral is "partial 16S ribosomal RNA". It matches the Rfam family "Bacterial small subunit ribosomal RNA", at positions 568 to 774 of the family's 1533-position model. The record is from RNAcentral.
CACGUAGGCGGAUAUUUAAGUCAGGGGUGAAAUCCCAGAGCUCAACUCUGGAACUGCCUUUGAUACUGGGUAUCUUGAGUAUGGAAGAGGUAAGUGGAACUCCGAGUGUAGAGGUGAAAUUCGUAGAUAUUCGGAGGAACACCAGUGGCGAAGGCGGCUUACUGGUCCAUUACUGACGCUGAGGUGCGAAAGCGUGGGGAGCAAACA